ACUGAUUAUAAAUACAUUGGUGUAUGUGUGUGGAGGGGGGGGAGGGGUUAGAUCCUGAAUUACAUAAACUUGGGCUAACAACAGGCCCAAUGCAUUACUCAAGAUAAGCUGUUUUGGGGAAAUAAGAGCUGAUGAAAGUUGGGCUCGAGAUUGAGCCCAAAUGAAGGACGGAAAUAGCUGAAGCCAAACGAAACUGGCCACAGCCUAGGUGGUCCCAUUUGGGCCAACUCCAAACCCCAAAUGCUUUGGCGAUGAUAAUUCAAACAUUAAGGUCCUAAUGAGGCCCUACUGACUAUAAUUGACAUAUAACAACAUGAUAUGCAUGUUCCAAAAAAUCACAACACCUAAACAACCAUAUUAUGCACUUUUAAUUCAUUAUUUUACUAUUAAUGUUAGCAGCAUACAUCUGGUAUUUAAAACUACUCAUUAAUUAUACUGAAUUUACAUGUACAACUAUCCUAACAAUACUGAGAUUCUAAGCAAUUAAAUUAAAAGUGUACAACAGUCAGAUAACACCCUUUCAAACGUACAUGAUACGUGAAUCAAGCAUCCCUUAGAUACGUAUAAAAACAAUCCACUUCCAAACACACACUAGUGGCCUUUUAGUAUGCUAAUUCAACAGUAAGAGUCCUCAAAAUGCCAAAGGCCUUACUUCACAAUCAUUUUUGUGUCCCUUUGUUCAUAAACAACAGUUGCAACCUUUUGUUCAAAUCACAGCUAUUAAAAGGAACAUAGAUGCUUAAGACCAGAUCCUAAACCAGACUUAAAGGUGGGAAACAAACAGUGAGAGAAAUGAGAAGAAACACAUAAAAGAAAGCUAAAACUAAUAAAGAGGCUAGAUGAACUUAAAAGAAACAUGUGAAUAAAAUUAAAAGGGCAACAUUUGUCAUUAGAUCUUCACAUUUCAAUUACAUAUUUCAAAUGGAAUACAUGCUUGCACUUCAGUGAUCAUUCAUGGUCCAAGAAGUACCUGGAUAUCAAAACAAAGCAAAAGGGAGUGAGGAUUUCAGCAAGAACAGAAGUAUGAGCAAAGCAGCAAGUCAACAUCAAUAUUCAGCCUCUUUAGACUAUCUUUACACCCAGAAAUCCAGAAAUCCCAAGAAAGUUUUAAGUUCUUACUAAAAGAGAAAUCAGGGAACAAUUCCAACCAAUUUUCAAUGAAAGUAAUGCAGAAACUUUUUUGUAUUUUCCAGGGUUCUGAAUCUCUGCCUAAGGAGUGAGGGAGGGGUCCUACUUAUAGGCAAC
Molecule: long non-coding RNA, 1245 nt
Filed under: Nicotiana tabacum (common tobacco)
Lineage: Eukaryota; Viridiplantae; Streptophyta; Magnoliopsida; Solanales; Solanaceae
Description: long non-coding RNA (NTAB_LNC012508)
Source: RNAcentral